AUAUGCUUGUCCCGAAGCUUAAGCCAUGCAAGUCUAAGAAUGAGGGAUCUCUCGAAUCUGCGAAAGGCUCCGUAUAUCUGUUCUAACCCGCCGCCCGCCAUAGAGACUAUUAGGCGGAUACCCCCGGUAAUUCUGAGGUUAAUACGUGAUGCGCCAGGCGCGCCCCCCGGGACUGGGGCCGCCCCAGGCUAGGACGAUGCGACGCCAGGGCAGUGCUCAAACUGCGGCCAUGGAUGCCGGGCUCUCGCGGGCGGGAUGCGAGUCGCGCACUUUGAUGCCGGCGAGCUCCCCCAGCGACCUCCCUGGGCGAAAGCGUGAGCGAGUCCUUCAGUUACUGGACCGCCCCGAGAAGGGGCGGCUGGGCGGCGGGGGCCAGACCUAUCAACUAGACGGCCAGGGAUUGCCUGGCCGUGGUGAUAACGGGUACAGAGGAUCAGGGUUCGAUCCUGGAGAGGUAGCCUGAGAGAUCGCUACUACUUCUAAGGAAGGCAGCAGGCGCGCAACGUUCCCAAUGGGGAUACCCUGAGGACGUGAAGGGACAUAUUAAUGCCCGGCCCUUAAAGCCGGGCAAUUGACAUGGGGGAUCGCUAAACCUCCCACCGAGUAACAAUUGGAGGACAAGUCUGGUGAACACUCGCCAGAUGUCGGCUAAAAGACAGGGGCUGGACGGUUAGGUCAGGGCGCGAGCCCUGUUAACUGGCUCCUUAUUUUGGUUGGCAGAAAGUGGGGAUCAGCUCCCACUGUACAGUCGGAAAUUGCAGGGACGGCUAGGUACGGGGGUGGAUACGACUGCUCAGGGAAAGUAACCGAAGGCAGCCAGGGUCUGAUGAUCUUGGGCGUGAUAAUGCCACCCUCAGGGGCCCCUGUCCGGCCACGCCCUCCCUGUAAAGGGAGGGUAACCACCCUAGCCAAUCUGCAGCCAAGCCGCUAUACCCUAUUCCUAACCACCCCAUCUUAGCGCUGGGGCUGGCCAAGGUCACUAGGGAGUGUGGAAGGUUCAGAGACUAUAAUCGACUGGGCGCAAGCUUAAGGAAUAGUCCACUCCCCCCAGUGAUGGGGCCAGCAAAAGUAGGGGAAGUAGCUGUCCCUGAGGCAUGCUGGGUCCUUCGAAGCAUGGGUGGAUUCAAAAUCCCCGUGCGAGGUAUAGGAUGGUACGAUGGGCCAGCACCCGCGGUAAUUCCAGCUCCAGUAGCAUCUACUUAAGUUGUUGCAGUUAAAACGCUCGUAGUCGGAUUCGGCGUGCUCGCCAGCCCUCGGCAAGCCCUUGAGGCGGCCCGUUCCCCCCUAGCGGGGGUCCUGGGUUGCUGCCUGGGUGGACGGGGGUUUGGCGGCGCGCUUCUUGCCCGGGAUCUCCCCACCGGCACUUCAGUGGCCUGGGGCUGUUGAUCGGGCAGUUUCCUUUGACUAAAUGUGAGCGCUCCAAGCAGGCCGCGAAGGCCCUGAAACCUCCAGCAAAGAACAAUAGAACGGGCCCCCUAUUCGGUCGGGAUAGGUUAAACCUAAAGGAUUGGUGUAGCAUGGCACGGAGGAACGAAGGAACCAUCCCACGAAGCGAAGACUUAGGUAUGUUAAGACAGGCAGAAGGGACCACUCCGCGAGGACCGGAGUAACGAAGGGCGAUACAUGGCACCCCAAUUCUGGGCCAAUGAUCAACAGGGGCGAUCGGGGCGGGCCACAUGGUCGGGGUAGGGGUGAAAUCCGUUGAUCCUGACCCGGUGAACUAGAGCGAAAGCAGCCCGCUAGUACGCUUUCUUUGAUCAAGAACGAAAGUCUGGGGAUCGAAGACGAUCAGAUACCGUCGUAGUCCAGACCCUAAACGCUGCCGGCCAUGGAUGGGCUCUCGUCCAUCCCGACCCAGCCCGCACCUUACGGGAAACCAUAAGCGUCUGGGCUCUGGGGGGAGUAUGGUCGCAAGGCUGAAACUUAAAGGAAUUGACGGAAGAGCACACAAGGAGUGGAGCCUGCGGCUUAAUUUGACUCAACACGGGGAAACUCACUAGGGCAAGAGGGGGGAAGGAUUGACAGAUAAGCAGUGCUUUCAUGAUUCCCCCAGUGGUGGUGCAUGGUCGUUCUUAGUUCGUGGAUUGUUUUGUCUGGUCUAUUCCGCUAACGAGCGAGAACCUACUCUCUGAGGUUAGGUGCCUGGGCACGCUAGGCCCCACGAACCGGCCCGCGAGGGCUGGCGAGGGGGGCCCGGCUGAAAACGCCCUUGAAUACGCUCCGGGGAGACCAGUGUCGCUAAGGCGCUGGCGGCAGGUCAAUAACAGGUCAGUGAUGCCCUUAGAUGCUCUAGGCUGCACGCGCGCUACAAUGGGGCAAGCACCGGGCUUUCCUGUGCCUAACGGCGGCGGGGAAUCCGGCAAAAUGCCCCGUGUCCGGGAUAGUAGCGUGUAAAUCGCUUUCUUGAACAAGGAAUUUCUAGUAGUCGCGGGUCACCAGCCCGCGGCGAUUU
Molecule: ribosomal RNA, 2452 nt
Filed under: Ophiotheca calongei
Lineage: Eukaryota; Evosea; Eumycetozoa; Trichiida; Trichiidae
Description: Perichaena calongei partial small subunit ribosomal RNA
Rfam family: Eukaryotic small subunit ribosomal RNA
Source: RNAcentral